UGGGGAAUAUUGCGCAAUGGGCGAAAGCCUGACGCAGCGACGCCGCGUGAGGGAUGAAGGUUUUCGGAUCGUAAACCUCUGUCAGAAGGGAAGAAACCGCACUGUGCUAAUCAGCAGUGCCUUGACGGUACCUUCAAAGGAAGCACCGGCUAACUCCGUGCCAGCAGCCGCGGUAAUACGGAGGGUGCAAGCGUUAAUCGGAAUUACUGGGCGUAAAGCGCACGUAGGCUGCUUUGUAAGUCAGGGGUGAAAUCCCACGGCUCAACCGUGGAACUUCCUUUGAUACUGCUUAGCUUGAAUCCGGGAGAGGGUGGCGGAAUUCCAGGUGUAGGAGUGAAAUCCGUAGAUAUCUGGAGGAACAUCAGUGGCGAAGGCGGCCACCUGGACCGGUAUUGACGCUGAGGUGCGAAAGCGUGGGGAGCAAACAGG
RNAcentral lists this ribosomal RNA (429 nucleotides) under Fusobacteriota bacterium. RNAcentral's name for it is "Fusobacteria bacterium partial 16S ribosomal RNA". It matches the Rfam family "Bacterial small subunit ribosomal RNA", at positions 355 to 776 of the family's 1533-position model. Lineage: Bacteria; Fusobacteriati; Fusobacteriota. The record is from RNAcentral.